This is a long non-coding RNA of Eleginops maclovinus (Patagonian blennie), 11814 nucleotides long. RefSeq lists it as uncharacterized. Lineage: Eukaryota; Metazoa; Chordata; Actinopteri; Perciformes; Eleginopidae. The record is from RefSeq and is a predicted model, not a curated record. The transcript is spliced from 6 exons.
AAGACAGAGGCACACUUCGAACGUGUAUUUGAAUGUGGUAAAUGAUAAGAAGUUAAACUAUGUACAAAAUAUGAUGACUUCGAUCUGUAAAUGCGUUUUUCGUUGCAUUUUAUUUCGAAAUGCCCAGGACAUAGACACGACAUUCAACGUAGCAGGAAGUCAAUACACUUUGCCGGCAAAACAAAGUAGAAAAACAUCCUUCAAGGACACAAGAUGUGUGUAAAUAUGCGAGUAAAUGAUUUACAUCUGUGCGUUCAUGCGAGUUUAUGGUGAUCCUUGUCAUCAAGGCAUCUGUACGGUGUGCAGGUCUAGCCUACAAUCUGCUGAGAGGACACAUUCGCCCAAGAAAAGUACACAGGUUAUUUAAAAACAAAGGGAAAUUGGAGCAGAGAGGAAAGAGGAAAUUCGGAGAGUCAGUGAGAGCUUCUGACACUUCUCAGUGAAGGCAGAGAGUGUAUGCAAGUCGCGUAUCUUUCCAGUGCAAAACUACGGUUCAAUAUGAUCAGUGACGUAGGAUUUUCAGCUGUUGGAUGUUCUGUGAUGAAUAACUUAUUUGUGUGGAAACGAAUGUGAAAGAACUGUGCAGGGGAACAACAGCAAGGGAGGGGCAGCUGCUUUUUACCCAAGUACCCAGUACAAUUGUGAGAACUGCUUUUGCGUUUCGAUGCUUCUGUUUUAUCUUCUGACUGAUCUUUCUGACUGCUUUCCUGAAUAUAAGAUCUCCUGCUUCUACAUUUUUGUAAAGCGCUUUGAAUUGCUUUGUGUUGAAAGGUGCUAUAUACAUAACCUUUACUUGCUUUCUAAAGCUUUACAUUGUGAUUGUCAUGUCAAUGUAAAAGUAGUAGUUGAAAGCUAUAUAUUCCUCAGUGCAUGCCAUAUUGACUACGAUGACCUGUUCUCGUGUUGGGUAAAGUUAGAAAUACUGCAAUUGUUUUUUAUGUUGGAUGUUAUUUGCAAAGAAAUUUGGAUCACUUGUAUUUGUUUUUGUAGGAAGGCGACAUGGUCCCUUUAUUGUUAUCUGGUAAUUGUGGAGAAAAGUAUUUAAUAGUCGAUAUUUUAUGUGUCAUUGUUUACAUUUUUGCACAAAAUAAUGUAUUUUAUUGGCUGCUCUGUUUUUGAUUUCCGAGCCCAACAGUUAAAACUGGUUCAUUAUGUUUAUAUGCACGAGGGGAAAGACAUUGAUUACAUCUUUAUCAGGUUUGGUAAAUUAUAUUACCCAUGUGUCAUUGUUAUGUGUACAGAGCAAGUCAACAUGUGCAGACUUGAUGAACCAUUUGCUCUGCGUCAUAUAAAGUGGCUGGUUGGCGCCCUCUCCCUUUACUUCACGAGAUUACAGGUAACGGUUACCAGGAAAUGUGGAGCACACUGAGGAGGACUACAAAUUCAGGCGUUAUUCAGCCCGGCUUUCUACUUCGGACUCACGGUCUUAUUAUAUUUAACAACCGUGGGAUAUAUUUUAGUGCGAAAUUACGUCAUCACGUGUUUAUUUUUACAUGAAAACUUUUGCAUCCUUUGGAGGCAGCGUUGGGAGUGCUGAGAAACGCGGUAAAAUACGAGAAUAGGAGCAAGUCAACAUGUGCAGACUUGAUGAACCAUUUGCUUUGGAUAAGUCAAGACAUCAGUGCAACUGGAAUCAAAACAAACCGGGAUUUGGAUGGAUUUGUGAUUACUGGAAAUGCAACUGGGAUCAUCUCAAAUGGUUUCCUGUUGUCCAGCUGUGUUCAUUCAUGCUGUGCGGCCAGUAUGCUGUCUUUUGAAGAGAAAGAUUGAAAAUGUUGUGGAAAUUGUUGUGUGAGCAAUACUGUUUUUUACACAGACAUUGAAAGACUUGUAAAAAAAAAAACUCACCAAGGUGUUGACUGAACAGGAGUGUGUUAAGGCCAAGAGUGCAUUUUCUCCUUUAUUCACCAUCGGAGACAGCUUAAUUGACAACUCGGCAUGUUUUCAACAUCUUUACGAAAAGCCUGUUACCGGGAUGUUUUAACCUUAAGUAGACCUUGCAUAAUUGCUCUGUGUAACCAACAGAACCUACAGCAAUUUAGCUUGCUUUUAAUAUUUCUCCUGAUGUUAGAGGCGGCCAAUGCUUUGAAUCAGUACAGUAAACUGAGUCAUCAAAACUCGGUUUGAGUAACAAGUUAUUGAUUUGUCUACCUUGUUUCAUACAGGUCUGUUGUUCCAAAUAUUUGACUCCAUUACAGGAGUCAAAUAUUUUUCUUGGUACUGCCUUCGGUAAGGCAAACAGAUGACAUUUCCCCUCACAUUUCAGGGCACAGUACUUCCUUGACAUUUCAGCCUUCCAACAGUAACUGGUCGGUUGGCAGAGGGUGGGCCUAUUGGUCUAUAGCCAUGGGCGUGCCAAUGUGCCGAGCUCCAGAUUUAGUGAUGUCAUUAGCCCCCGGAAGAAAAAAAUGGAAAAAGAAAAAUCUAUAACGAGGCAUUCGAGGGCAGCAUAGACGCAUCGUUUCUGCUUUUGAGUUUUACUCACUACAGGGUGAACUUUGAGGGUUUGUGACUUUGCAGACCGUUCACAUGCAGAAAAAGCUAGAUAACGCACGAAAGGACGGGAUAUAACCGGAAAAGCAUAAUAGGUGACCUCUAAGUAAGACUGAGUAUUAUAAAUGAUUUUACAGUUUUAAUGCAUUUUCUUUUUCCCAUGCAGAAAUUGCAGGGUCGAUCUAUGGCAUGGUUGGUUAACAACAUAGCAGUUAAAAAGCAGAGACGCUUGUGUGGACUGCUUCUGCUGACGGGCAGACAGUUCUGUGCGGUUCAUUGUUACAUUUUUAUUUUGAUGUGACACGCAAUGUACCAUGCUAUCGUAAUAAUGUUCUUUAUCAGCCUUUGAACCUGAAACUUUUUAAAAUCAUUAUAUAUCAGAUUACUCUACCGCAUGAAUUGACGGCUAUUGGUCGACUAGAAACAUCUUUAGUCGAGAGCAGCCGCAUUAAGUUGCAUGUAGUGGCUACCAGUAUUUAAGAAUUUGGUACACAUUUAGUAAGUCACUAACUCAGAAGUCGGCCAUUUUAAUAUUAUGUGCACAAACUUCACAUUUUGUGUGGAAUGCCCAAUGUUAAAUGUGACUUUGGGAUAGUUUCAUCAUGUCUGAAGUGUAUCCACAGUUGAAAUAUGCCAACAUAAAGCUUGACACAAAUGUUUGAUGAGUGAGCAUGAUAACCCAAAGUAGCAUGUUACAGCAACAACUAGUGCUCUGCCAUCUGAGAUGAGAGGGGGUGCACCAGUAGGCUAGCUACAGUGGCCGGCAACAGCAAUGAAAAGUAGCAUUGCUGUUAUGGUGCCCGAUGAAGAGACUAUGGCAUGUUAUGUUUCAAAACCAAGUAAGCAAGAACAUUUCAAGUGUGUUUAAAGUGCUAUCCUGAAAUAUUUCAUCCAGUCCAAAGUGGCACACAACUUCAAGCUUCAGCUUAAACUGUACUGAUAAAACAAAUGAGAACAUAUUGUAAAUCAAGUAGGGAUGCACCGAUGCCAAAUUUCCUGGUCGAUUGUUAAGAAUAACAAUUUGGCUGAUGCCGAUGUUUUAAUGUACAUUUCUUUUCCACUCUCUGCCAGGAAAAACAAGAGUGUCUGAAAAUGGUUUCAGUUUAAAGGGUUGAGCAAGUUCGUUAUUAUAACAUCUCCGAAUGCACCAUCGGUAAAUAAGGUGACAUCACCGAUGGCAGUCGCCAAUGUUUGUUUUGCUACGUGACCGGGAGAAGUUGUGUUAGCGUUGUUGUUUUUAAAUCUGACGGACCAAAUCUGAAGUCAGGGCAUCAUUUUGAAGGAUUAGAACAGUGACUGUGGGUCUGCCGUAACUUCAAAGUCAUUCUCUGCGCAUGCUGCAGGUCUUCCGCCCCGUGUAGCGGGUGUCUGCAGGAUCAGUAAAUUAAAUCCAUUCUUCAGUGUUCUUGUGACGCUGUCGUUUAUAUUUGUGACUUUGUUAUACUUGCUGCUACUCCCGUUAACUUCCAGAAACUUACUAUGGCUCGCUCAACCUCUCUCUCGGUCUUACACAUGCACACACGUAUCCCCCAUUCUCUCUUUUAAAUAGAUAGGCUGCCUGAGUCUGCAUGAUGCUACUAUUACAGUUUACAGAAGUAAAACAUCGGCCAUCGGUAUCGGCAAAAAUUGUUAUACUUAACAUCGGCAUCGGCCAACAUUUUUUCAAUCGGUGCAUCCUUAGUAAUAUCAUAGUAGGCUGUUUAGAAAGUACGCGGCUUCCCCUGAUCACCUGCAGCUCUGCCCGCUGUGAGGGGACCGGUGAGUGGAGCAAAACAUACGUUUAGAGUAAGACUUGAGCAUGAUGGGCUGUCAGUAGAGGGAGAGAGGAAAAGAUAGCGCUCCGUUUAUUAAGUAAAGUAAAUCGCGGAUCUCUUGGUGAAAUAGUCCCACACUGAGUCAAUAGCAACAGCAAAAAAAAGCAGUUUGACAUUGGCAGAGAAGAUUGGGCACAAUUUUCAUGGGUGCAACCCAAAUACUCAGCUUUGAGUCUGAUAAUGGCCGCUUCAGACAUGGUGCAACCAUUAGCAAGUAACCAACAAAGGUAACAACCGCCAACCUUAUCACCCAAAUCUCCUAGAGCACCAUUGUGUUUAAAAAAACAAACAACCAAACAUCAGAAAGUGGGACAUGGAGUUUGGUAGUUAAUUUGCAUUUAAAGAUAGACACAUAAUCAGCACUUUGAUUGACACUGUGUUGUAACCUCCCCUUUUGGAAACUGCCUGGAUUUGGUUUGUCCCUGCAACAUGCUCUUGUUGACUUAGCUUGAAUGUUCCCAGUCCGAAGGUGCCUCAGCUCUGGCUUCAGAGCAUUCAGUAAUGCCCACCAGUAUGUUUGGCUGUCAUAGUAACGGUAAUAUUGGUCCAGAAAGGGAUGGGCUCAGAUCAGUCUAAAAUAAAGAAAUGCAAACGUAAGGAUUCACAAAUGUAAUUGUGUAAAAAUGUUUUGGGCGUGUGAAUCCCUCUGCAUUUGUGUGUGUGAAUCUUUUGCAUUUGUUUGUAGAUUUUUGAGACACCCCUGAAGAUUCACAAAUGCAUUUUUUUAAAGAGGGGAGUGUCUGAAGCCAUUCAGGUGUCUGCUUAAUUUUAAGCUAAUCACAUGAUUGAGUCCCCACAAGCCAUUGAACCACGCCCACUUCCGCCUUAGCGUUACUCUGCCGACUGCAUCAUGGACAUAUGGUGAACCAUGUUAACAACCAAAACCAAUGUGAGAUUUAUUUAUAUCAGCCCAGUGAUUGACUAGUGUGGUGUAUUAAAUCUGGGCUGAUAUACAAAGGUAGAUACUCUCUGAGGACAAAGGUUGGGUAAGAGGAAUAUGGGGAAAAAACAAACAUCUGACAUAUGUCAGGGGGCCCCUAUGAAUGGACCUAUGUUCCCUUAGGGUGGCACACAUUGUUAAUGAUUACCUCAGGUGAGCAUGUACACACAUUUUCUUCUAUAAAUGGCAUGCACAAAGAGAGUUCGGGGGGACUUCCACAAUUGGCUCUGGGAACCCCGCAUCGCGUUGGUGUAUGAUACUAUGCUGUUGUAAUAAACCUCAUUAUAUACAAGCUGGUGUCUCCUGAGACUUCUUCAUCAUCUUCACAAACAUCGCUACAAGAUAUACUUCACUAGCUACCUGUCAAAUGCAAGGCCUCAGAAGUGAGUGAAGACAUCACUUCUCUACACGCAAUGUGCUCUAGAUGUCCCUACAGCCGAGGAGGGGAAUGUUCUAAGAACCAACAGUGUAGUUUCGUUGGCACUAUCCAGUCACCUCUUGACAUUAAAGGAACACCUUCAUCUGUGGUUCCCGCUAAAAAUGGAAUAAAAAACAACAUGGGAACCAUUCGAUAUCCUGGAGAGCUUAAAGUAGCACACGGCCCAACUCAGUUGCAUCAAGGCUACGCACAGUCCCAACAACAUUUGGAGGGACUCCACUACCCUCGAAAGUCACAGUCGAGCAUACUUGACACUGGAUUCCAGCACCCUAUACCUGGGGAUAGUGCAGGUUAUUCCCGGGGCAGUCACAACCACAUAAGCCGAGACGGAAAUGCCAGCAUCUAUUCAUCAACGCAUGUCUCUUCUCAACACAUCAGUUAUUUGGGGAAUUCUGCUGAAUCUGUCAGGCGACCCGUUUAUAACUCAUCCCAUCAGCAGCAAGUCUGGUCUCGCUCUCUCAGCAGAGAAAAAGUCUUGCCAGUUGGAGAAUCGAAACCCCCUUCAGAUGAGGAAAUACAUGACUUUGUUGCAAAACGCGUCAAUUUUUUUUGGACUAUAACAAAAUAUGUAUAUUCUAAAAAGCUGUACAACAGGGACUAUCCACUGCGGUCAGACUCCAUCUCACCAAAGGUUGACUCUUUUUACCAUCCCCACGAAACCUCUGCCUCUGCCAAUGAAGACAUGGGAAGGCAAAGUCUCUGCGUUGCUGUAAGUGAAGAGUUCACUGCUGCAGUUGGACCAGCACUUGAAGAGGAGGGUUCAAGGGGCAACAACGCAUUUGCUGUGUUACCGCCCAAGUGUAAAGGAACCGAUGAUUGCUCUGCAUCUGCGUCAGAGAAACAUUCAAAAGAACAUCCACGUGAACGGAAGAUACUUCCCGCGACUUGCUCAAAGGAUGAAGAUGGGAGCCCAGUGGUAGCCGCAGCAGUGCCUGGAAUGACCUUCGAAGAAAUGACAGAGAAGCAAUCCAAUUCAAUGUUCAACAGUAGCCUGUCAGAAGAACACAAGUCCCCCUGGUUAAUCAUUAAAACACAUUUUGAUGACAAAGGCCAAGUGCCUGGUGUUUCUAGGGCUCCCAAACACACCAUGGAGAAGGAGACCAGCAAAGUGGCCCUAAUACCUGUGGGGCUAAUAGGGUUGGACAAACUGCAAGACAUGACCGACCUCUCGGUGGUAUCUGAAAACCAAACUUUUGGACAAGAAUCACUCGUGAAUGUACAUUCAAAGAAAAACAUUGACAAGCUAUGUUCACCUGUUGAUGCACUUCGUAUUGAUCAUGUGUGGUCAAUUCAGACAAACCAAACCAAAUGCAUAGCAAUUCCCAAAAAUGAAGUUGAGAAUCACAUCCCUCUAUCAGAAAGUGCGGGUCAGAGACCACUCUUUGUUAACAUGCCUCAAUACGAAGAUAUCUCAGAUGAUGACUCCCAGCUACCAAACACAGAGCACAAGGAAUUCAACUUUCCAACGGCUUCUGAAGACAUUAGGGAAGAGGACAGUCCCCAUAUUGAUUAUAUGACUGCAGAGACCUCUUCAACUACACCAGAUCCCAACAUUAAGCUGUCACCAUUUGAACAUAAAGGUGCUGGUUAUGUACCUAAAUUCGAGACUGAGAUACAAACAUACCACUCUAUUUUAUGCAGUCCUUCUCCUUCUUUGAAAGAAGACGUUACAGAUACGUUUGAUGAGGACGAGGAUGAUGAUGAUAUGUUAUUCAUACCUAUAACCAUUUCCGACCUUGAGUUUGAACCUCAAGAACAAGAUGGGCUAUAUGGUGGAGAAACAGAGGACCAAGAAAGACAGUGUGAUGCAUAUCUAAACCACAAUCCAUCUCCAAAACCAGUACAAGCUUCUGAUUAUACACCAAUGAAGGAGUUUGACACAAUUGAAAGCUUUUUCAAAGCUGUAAAUUUUAAGCAAAUACAGGUGGCAUUGAUUGGCAAAGCUGAACAUAAAAUGGACUCUGAGGGAGAAGGUCAUACACUUAACAGCAGAGGGUCUUCAGACAGCUGUGAAACUGAUGACAGUUGUAAUUACUCUAAACCAGAAAACAAAUAUUUAGCAGUACCCAGGACGUUGUUGGAAAGGAAGGUAGCUCCUGAGCCCUCGGAAACAGACGCUUCUGUGCCUGAGGGCAAAGCCAAUGAGGUUACAAAUGUCCAACAAGGUCAAACCAGGAGUUUGGCGGGGUCUGGCUGUACACUGAUAUGUACAUCAACGACUGGCGAGAAAGAUUGUUCUAAAAAUGUUCAACCCUCAACCAAUGGGCAGAAUAUUUUAAACGAUGUUAUAAUCAUUGAAUCUGACUCUGAAGACGAAUGUAAACAAAACUACCAGCAGCCAAAAAGGAAGCGGUUUUUCUCUUCCAGCUCAGAGGACAGCAACUAUUCCUCAUGUGAAACUGUAGAAGAAAAGACAUCCGCAGACCGAGACAGAGAAAUUAAUGGGCAGCUGCGUGGCUCCACCAACAGUUUAGUUGUCAUCGACUCUGACAUAGACGAUGAUGAUGACCUAAACUACAAAGAUCAAAGCAGAAAGAGAUUGUCUGUUGAACAGAAAAAACCCGUUUUUAUAACUGUGGAGAGUGAUUGUGGACCUGCUGAUGAAAUUCCUCAAGAAACCAGACAGUCUUCUGCAGACCUAUCACAGUCACAAAACCAGUCAAUGCUUCCUGAUACACCACAGAAGACAAACGGACAUGAUUCAAAUUCUGGAGAGGUUAAUAAUAAAAGACGCAAAAAGGUCAAAUCAAGAAGCAUACUCGAAUCCGAUGACAUUGAUGAUGAAACUGUGGGCAGUCUUUGUGGAAUUGCUUACGAAAAGUCUAAAAACAGUCAGUUUUCUAAGGAUCAAAGAAAGAAGCAGUCCCAUUCUUUGAACAAGAAGGCCGACUCAACUUCAAAAUCUGUGAUUCCUCGCCUUGUUGUUGAGAAGCCUAAUCAACACUAUAGACUUUUAGAAGAAUGUCCCAAAGACAGACGGGGUAAGAAUGGCACUCCAAAGCAUUCCACAGCAUCCAGCAAAAAGACUGACUCCGUUGAUAAAAAUAAAUUGCAUUUGCCCAAACCAAAACGUGCAAAAGGUGGAGAACAUACAACAAAGAAUAACGUGCAGGCUAAUGUACCAAAACCCACAACAAUUUCAAGACAGCUUUCCUUACCUGAGCAGAAAUGCACAUCCACCUCUUUAAGUGGAAGUGGAAAACUUUCUGAAGCCAGACAAAGCUCAGCCAUUUCAAGAAAUGGGUCUCUGUCCGGAGGAACACCUGCUUGUUCUCAACAGCCCGCAUUCAAACCGAGCAUAUCGACUCCCAGAGAUAUGUCUUCGUUAAAACUACAGCGCUCUCUCUCUUGGAACAACAGCUCUACAAUAAAUCAUCCUAUCAAUCCCACAAAAGGGCCUUCAGUAACUUCUGCAACCAUUGCACCAUCAGCAAGGAAACGGUUGACACAAGAAAUGGCUGAAUUUAUCCCAAUCCCAAGACAGAAGAAGAAACCAGAACCCAAAGUGAAAAAAUCUCUCCCGGGGAUGGAGGAUGACUUGACAACCGGGACAUUGCCCAUUCACCAUAACAGGGCACCCAAACGGAGGCAGAACUCCAAGUCUGCAACCCCACUAAUGAAAAGGACCAAGUUGGAUGCCGUACAGUUGACAAAGGCUAGGAUCCGGGAUUCCCCAAAGGAACAAGGCAACUAUGGGGGUGAAGGUUACAAGUGGUCAGAGAAGCCACCGGUGACACCAACAAUACAAGGUUUUGGCAGGAAGACAAAGCUGUGAUUCCAAGGAUCAAUCAGUGAGAAAGAUUUGACAGUGUCUACAAAUCCAUAUCAAGUUUCUCUCACUUCCUAAGGAACAGAUGGCCGACUGGACACAAUCUAUUCAUUUUCACAUUAUAUUCCAUAUUUUAAGCCGUAUAUUUUUUAUUCAGUGUGAGAACUGUAAAUAUAUUUUUGUUUGCAUGUUAGAUGUUAUCGUUACUGGCUAACUUAAGUUGCAUGUGAAUUCAGCAUUGUUUGUACAUUUUGUUUCUCAAAAUGCUGUCUGAAAUUGAAACUCUAUACAGAUAUUUGUAUAUAUUGUACAUUUUUGUUAACACUAUUCCUGUUGUCAAUGUUCCAUCUUCUUUUUUUACUUUACUGUAUAAAAUGUUUAAAAGUCUUAAAAAUCAUGUCUCUUCAGUGUUUUGCUGGAGAUGCCAAACCAUCACCCAGUGUAGGAUUUCUUAUACCCCUUUAUUUCGGCCCCGUUACAAAAGUCCUGCUUGUUGUUGCUCUGUCGUCUGUGCCUUCAAAUGCAAAUGAGCUGCUGCUGGCCACGCCCCUUUUCAGGGUCUGCAGGAAAGCGGGGAGCUCUGCGAAGAGAAGGGUGUCUACCGGCAGAUACUCAGUUAAACGCUGCCGUGAUUACAAGCCACAUCAAGCAUUAAAAAAGUACUUCUUAUUUUAACAUAGCUUCUCCCAAUGCUGGUCUUCAUCAUAUAAACCAAUGGGCACCGAGGCAGUUUGUUCAGUAUAUAAAACAAUGUGAGAACUGUAAAUAUAUUUUUGUUUGCAUGUUAGAUGUUAUCGUUACUGGCUAACUUAAGUUGCAUGUGAAUUCAGCAUUGUUUGUACAUUUUGUUUCUCAAAAUGCUGUCUGAAAUUGAAACUUGAUACAGAUAUUUGUAUAUAUUGUACAUUUUUGUUAACACUAUUCCUGUGGUCAAUGUUCCAUCUUCUUUUUUUACUUUACUGUAUAAAAUGUUUAAAAGUCUUAAAAAUCAUGUCCCUUCAGUGUUUUGCUGGAGAUGCCAAACCAUCACCCAGUCUAUUUCAGCCCCGUUACAAAAGUCCUGCUUGUUGUUGCUCUGUCGUCUGUGCCUUCAAAUGAAAAUGAGCUGCUGCUGGCCGCGCCCCUUUUCAGCGUCUGCAGGAAAGCGGGGAGCUCUGCGAAGAGAAGGGUGUCUACCGGCAGAUACUCAGUUAAACGCUGCCGUGAUUACAAGCCACAUCAAGCGUUAAAAAAGUACUUCUUAUUUUAACAUAGCUUCUCCCAAUGCUGGUCUUCAUCAUAUAAACCAAUGGGCAGUUUGUUCAGUACAUAAAACAAUGUCUCCCUCUAGUGUCGAAAUUGAAGUGGUACGAGACGAGCGCAUAAACAUGUUUAUUUAAAAAAGUCCCCCUAUUCAUUAAAUGACACUUUUUGAGUCUCUUAACACACAGGGGAUACAUAUAUGUAUUAAAGACAUUAAAAAAUGCCUUUUGCAUAAUAGGGGACCUUUUUUAAAUGAACAUGUGUUGGUCUCGUACCACUUCAAUUUCGACACUAGAGGGAGACAUUGUUUUAUAUACUGAAUAAACUGCACCAGUGCCCAUUGGUUUAUAUGACGAGGACCAGCAUUGGGAGAAGCUAUGUUAAAUUAUAAAGACAUCGUGACCAUAUACAGUCUAUGAUGGUGACUUGUUGAUUUAUCAGCUUUUGUCCACGAAUGUUAAGAUAUUAAGGCAUGAAUUGAGGAGACUAAAGGGUUAAUUAAUAAGUACCAUAUCACGAUCCUAAUAUAUACAUGACUCCUAAAUUCUACCUUAAAUUCAAAGUAAAGGUAGGUAUGAAAUAAUGGAUAACUUUCAAGGUUUUAUUGGUCAUAUGCACAGCAUAUACAACGUAUAUGUUGGCAAUGAAAAUGUUAUGUCCCAUGCUCCUCUAACAACUCAACAUACAUGGUGCAAAUAAGAUAAAUAAAAUAGUGCAAAAAGAGAGAAGAAUAUUUAGAAUAACAACAAUAAAGAUUUGAGGAUGUGAAAUAUAUACAUAUGUGGAAUACAUUGAGAGUAUUUAAAUACUUUACACUGUUGAAUGAGGAGGUAUGGGCAGAUGCAUAUAUUACGUAUAACAGAUGUAUAUGGCAGAUAUGUAUAAUAUAUAGAUAUGUGUACUAUAAACAGAUAUGUAUGGCAGAUGUGUAUUGUAUGUAUGUAUGUAUGUAUGUAUGUAUGUAUGUAUGUAUGUAUGUAUGUAUGUAUGUAUGUAUGUAUGUAUGUAUGUAUGUAUGUAUGUAUGUAUGUAUGUACUAUAAACAGAUGUGAGUAGACAUUCACAGAGCUCAGGAGUUCAGCAGUCUUAUAGCCUGUGGUAUAAAACUGUCUCUGAG